GCACCUGAAUCUUUUCCUUGUUUCCUUGCUGUGCAGUGCAGGUCUGGGGUGGUUGGUGCAUCAGCACAGCAGUGGAAAUCUAGAUGAGUUGUUUUGCACUGGUUUGGGAUUCAUCUCUGCAACAUUUACCACUUAA
Small nucleolar RNA from Apus apus (common swift), 136 nucleotides. RefSeq annotates it as small nucleolar RNA SNORA55. The transcript has a single exon. The record is from RefSeq and is a predicted model, not a curated record. NCBI's taxonomy places the organism in Eukaryota, Metazoa, Chordata, Aves, Apodiformes, Apodidae.